UGGGAAUUUUGGACAAUGGGCGCAAGCCUGAUCCAGCCAUGCCGCGUGCGGGAAGAAGGCCUUCGGGUUGUAAACCGCUUUUGUCAGGGAAGAAAUCUUCUGAGUUAAUACCUCGGGAGGAUGACGGUACCUGAAGAAUAAGCACCGGCUAACUACGUGCCAGCAGCCGCGGUAAUACGUAGGGUGCAAGCGUUAAUCGGAAUUACUGGGCGUAAAGCGUGCGCAGGCGGUUCUGUAAGACAGAGGUGAAAUCCCCGGGCUCAACCUGGGAACUGCCUUUGUGACUGCAAGGCUUGAGUGCGGCAGAGGGGGAUGGAAUUCCGCGUGUAGCAGUGAAAUGCGUAGAUAUGCGGAGGAACACCGAUGGCGAAGGCAAAUCCCCUGGGCCUGCACUGACGCUCAUGCACGAAAGCGUGGGGAGCAAAACAGGAUUAGAUACCCUGGGUAAGUCCACGCCCUAAAACGAUGUCAAACUGGUUGUUGGGAAGGUUCCUUCUCAGUAACGUAGCUAACGCGUGAGGUUGACCGCCUGGGGAGUACGGCCGC
This 546-nucleotide ribosomal RNA is filed under the name uncultured bacterium. RNAcentral describes it as "partial 16S ribosomal RNA". It matches the Rfam family "Bacterial small subunit ribosomal RNA", at positions 356 to 889 of the family's 1533-position model. The record is from RNAcentral.